This is a long non-coding RNA of Astatotilapia calliptera (eastern happy), 418 nucleotides long. The record is from Ensembl. Lineage: Eukaryota; Metazoa; Chordata; Actinopteri; Cichliformes; Cichlidae.
UUUGAUGUUCUCACGAUAGAGUUCGUAAUUUAAGAAGAGGCUGGCCGCAACAUUUCAAAACACGUACACAAAGCGAGAAGCAACUUCCCUUCCUUUUACACUUCCUGUCAUUUUCUGAGUAAGCGAGAAAGAGAGAGAAAUGGAGCGCUGCACAGACAACAAAGAGUUUCAGUCAACAAAAUCUGACAGGAGUGGCCUCCUGGUGUGGUCUUCUGCUGUUGUAAUCCACCUGCUUCAUGGUUCAACAUGUUGUGCAUUCACAAAUGCUCUUCUGCAUGCUUUGGCUGUAACCAGAGAGAAUUGCUGCUCACUGGAUACUUUCUCUUUUCCAUUGGGGAGACGGUUGUGUGGGAUCAUUACAGUAAAUAAGCAGUUUCAGAAAUGCUCAGAGAAGCACAUCUGCCAUGUUAAAAGUCAC